CCUACGUGCGGCAGCCGUGAGGUAUAUUGGUCAAUGGUCGGAAGCCUGAACCAGCCAAGUCGCGUGAGGGAUUAAGGUCCUGCGGGUCGUAAACCUCUUUUGCCGGGGAGCCGUGGUCCGGACGCGUCCGGACCGGGAGUGUACCCGGAGAAAAAGCAUCGGCUAACUCCGUGCCAGCAGCCGCGGUAAUCCGGAGGAUGCGAGGGUUAUCCGGCUUUAUUGGGUUUAAAGGGUGCGUAGGCGGACUGUCAAGUCAGCGGUAAAAGCCCGGGGCUCAACCUCGGCGAGCCGUUGAAACUGGCUGUCUUGAGAUGUCGAGAGGUAUGCGGAAUGCGCAGUGUAGCGGUGAAAUGCUUAGAUAUUGCGCAGAACUCCGAUUGCGAAGGCAGCAUACCGGCGGCGAUCUGACGCUGAGGCACGAAAGCGUGGGUAUCGAACAGGAUUAGAUACCCGUGUAGUC
Molecule: ribosomal RNA, 460 nt
Filed under: uncultured bacterium
Lineage: Bacteria
Description: partial 16S ribosomal RNA
Rfam family: Bacterial small subunit ribosomal RNA
Source: RNAcentral